Molecule: non-coding RNA, 1277 nt
Organism: Pelobates cultripes (western spadefoot toad)
Lineage: Eukaryota; Metazoa; Chordata; Amphibia; Anura; Pelobatidae
Source: the annotation of a GenBank genome assembly
GCCUAUAUUACUGCGUAACUGUAUGACUGUAAAUUGUAAGUCAAAAAUACUAAACUGUAAAAAAAAAAAAAAGAAUAUCUCAAGCCUGUCUCUUUUGGUUUACAUCUGGAUUUUAUAGUGAAGUCAAUUACAGCAGUACAUGUAAUAAUAAUAUCAGUCUAUCAGAAUGGAUUGUAUAUUCACCAGCUCAACUGCAGAUAUAAAGUUAUGUAAUGGGAAUAGGUAUUUCAAUAUUAUCCAGAUUUUCACUGACUUCCUCAUGUUAUUAAAGUGUUCUGCCCAAAGUGAAAAAGAAAUAAAAAGACUUGAUACAUGCAAGUGAAAUAUUAACAAGAAAUAAAUUAGUGUUACCAAAACCAUCCUAAUAACGUCCACUUCUUGCACAUGCUAAAUAUAUUACUUCCAGCGAGCUGUAGUGGUAUUAAUGCCAGAAAUGCGCUUGCAACCCCCUUCCCCUAUAUGUAGGUAGCCAAAACACUGCUACCUGCCUGAGCAAAGCGUGCCAGUGUAGGACAUAGCGAUAUUAAAUGGACACUAUAGUGCCCAGAACAACUACAGUUUAAUGUAGUGGGUCUGGAGACUAUAGACUGUCUAUGCAGACUCAGCAAUAUAAAUGGUGCCUGUCCCUGCAGGCCUUUUAAUGUAAACACUGCCUUUUUAGAGAAAAGGCAGGGUUUACAUUACUGCUUAGUUACACCUCUAGUAACAAAUCACUCAGCUAACUACUACAGGUGCUGUACCUGCACAAUAGCCUCCUAAUCAAAAAUGAUUUUCUCAGCCAUGGAGGUGGAGCAAGGUAGGGCCAGCUGCAGCGAGAGUGGUGUGGCGCUGGAAAACAAGGUGAGUAAAGUCAUCUUUUUAUAGUAAAGAGAGGAGGCCAGGGACCUAAAUAUUUAUUUUACCACUAUAGUGUCAGGAAUACAGGUUUGUGUUCCUGUCACUAUAAUGUUCCUUUAAUUAAGCGAAUUGGCCUAGAACAGUAAUGAAAAAAAAAAAAAAAAAACGACUACACAACCCAAUAUUAUAUAUACACACACAAAUAUACAUACAAAGACUUAGAAAUUCCUUGCACUCCAGGCUCCAAUUAUUUUUUCCGGGUGCUGAAAGCCCAGGGCUCAAUAUCCAAAUAGUGCAAAUAGGGAUAGGCUAGCACUCACUCAUGAUCCUGAGGAAAGUCCUGGAUGGGGACUGAAACAUCAAUCUACAUGUUUUAAUUUACCAAUAAAGUAAGGAACUUUUAACUUCCAAAUUCCUAGCCUAUCCCAUUUGCAAUAUAU